RNAcentral lists this ribosomal RNA (292 nucleotides) under uncultured bacterium. Its description in RNAcentral is "partial 16S ribosomal RNA". It matches the Rfam family "Bacterial small subunit ribosomal RNA", at positions 505 to 796 of the family's 1533-position model. The record is from RNAcentral.
GUGCCAGCCGCCGCGGUAAUACGUAGGUGGCUAGCGUUAUCCGGAUUUACUGGGCGUAAAGAGGGUGCAGGCGGCUCUUCAAGUCGGUUAUAAAAUCUCUUGGCUUAACUAAGAGGGACUGACCGAUACUGUUGGGCUGGAGAGUAGCAGAGGGAGAUGGAAUUCCCGGUGUAGUGGUGAAAUGCGUAGAUAUCGGGAGGAACAUCAGUGGCGAAAGCGGUCUCCUAGGCUAUUUCUGACGCUGAGGCCCUAAAGCGUGGGGAGCAAACAGGAUUAGAUACCCGCGUAGUCC